CCUACGGGAGGCUGCAGUAGGGAAUAUUGCUCAAUGGGGGAAACCCUGAAGCAGCAACGCCGCGUGGAGGAUGAAGGUUUUCGGAUUGUAAACUCCUUUUGUUAGAGAAGAUAAUGACGGUAUCUAACGAAUAAGCACCGGCUAACUCCGUGCCAGCAGCCGCGGUAAUACGGAGGGUGCAAGCGUUACUCGGAAUCACUGGGCGUAAAGAGGGCGUAGGCGGGAUAGCAAGUCAGAUGUGAAAUCCUAUGGCUUAACCAUAGAACUGCAUUUGAAACUGUUAUUCUAGAGUAUGGGAGAGGUAGGUGGAAUUCUUGGUGUAGGGGUAAAAUCCGUAGAGAUCAAGAGGAAUACUCAUUGCGAAGGCGACCUGCUAGAACAUAACUGACGCUGAUGCGCGAAAGCGUGGGGAGCAAACAGGAUUAGAUACCCCAGUAGUC
RNAcentral lists this ribosomal RNA (440 nucleotides) under uncultured bacterium. RNAcentral describes it as "partial 16S ribosomal RNA". It matches the Rfam family "Bacterial small subunit ribosomal RNA", at positions 338 to 795 of the family's 1533-position model. The record is from RNAcentral.